ACUUGUGGGUGGAUUAGUGGCGAACGGGUGAGUAACACGUGAGUAACCUGCCCUUGACUCUGGGAUAAGCCUGGGAAACUGGGUCUAAUACCGGAUAUGACUCCUCAUCGCAUGGUGGGGGGUGGAAAGCUUUUUGUGGUUUUGGAUGGACUCGCGGCCUAUCAGCUUGUUGGUGAGGUAAUGGCUUACCAAGGCGACGACGGGUAGCCGGCCUGAGAGGGUGACCGGCCACACUGGGACUGAGACACGGCCCAGACUCCUACGGGAGGCAGCAGUGGGGAAUAUUGCACAAUGGGCGCAAGCCUGAUGCAGCGACGCCGCGUGAGGGAUGACGGCCUUCGGGUUGUAAACCUCUUUCAGUAGGGAAGAAGCCUUUCGGGGUGACGGUACCUGCAGAAGAAGCGCCGGCUAACUACGUGCCAGCAGCCGCGGUAAUACGUAGGGCGCAAGCGUUAUCCGGAAUUAUUGGGCGUAAAGAGCUCGUAGGCGGUUUGUCGCGUCUGCCGUGAAAGUCCGGGGCUCAACUCCGGAUCUGCGGUGGGUACGGGCAGACUAGAGUGAUGUAGGGGAGACUGGAAUUCCUGGUGUAGCGGUGAAAUGCGCAGAUAUCAGGAGGAACACCGAUGGCGAAGGCAGGUCUCUGGGCAUUAACUGACGCUGAGGAGCGAAAGCAUGGGGAGCGAACAGGAUUAGAUACCCUGGUAGUCCAUGCCGUAAACGUUGGGCACUAGGUGUGGGGGACAUUCCACGUUUUCCGCGCCGUAGCUAACGCAUUAAGUGCCCCGCCUGGGGAGUACGGCCGCAAGGCUAAAACUCAAAGGAAUUGACGGGGGCCCGCACAAGCGGCGGAGCAUGCGGAUUAAUUCGAUGCAACGCGAAGAACCUUACCAAGGCUUGACAUGAACCGGACCGCUGCAGAGAUGUGGUUUCCCCUUUGGGGCUGGUUUACAGGUGGUGCAUGGUUGUCGUCAGCUCGUGUCGUGAGAUGUUGGGUUAAGUCCCGCAACGAGCGCAACCCUCGUUCUAUGUUGCCAGCACGUGAUGGUGGGGACUCAUAGGAGACUGCCGGGGUCAACUCGGAGGAAGGUGGGGACGACGUCAAAUCAUCAUGCCCCUUAUGUCUUGGGCUUCACGCAUGCUACAAUGGCCGGUACAAAGGGUUGCGAUACUGUGAGGUGGAGCUAAUCCCAAAAGCCGGUCUCAGUUCGGAUUGGGGUCUGCAACUCGACCCCAUGAAGUCGGAGUCGCUAGUAAUCGCA
Molecule: ribosomal RNA, 1259 nt
Filed under: Arthrobacter sp. MH4-1
Lineage: Bacteria; Bacillati; Actinomycetota; Actinomycetes; Micrococcales; Micrococcaceae
Description: bacterial SSU rRNA
Rfam family: Bacterial small subunit ribosomal RNA
Source: RNAcentral